This 399-nucleotide ribosomal RNA is filed under the name Triticum aestivum (bread wheat). RNAcentral's name for it is "partial small subunit ribosomal RNA". The record is from RNAcentral. Lineage: Eukaryota; Viridiplantae; Streptophyta; Magnoliopsida; Poales; Poaceae.
AUGGGAAAGAGGAAGAGGGAAAGGGAAGUGCGUCUUCACGUGAAGACAUCCGAGGGUUCCUCCUCGUCGUCGUCGUCACUCGGCGGAGGUGGCCGCACCCCUCCUUCUUUGAGGGGAGGAGGAGGAGGAGGACGAGGAGGAGGAGGCGGGAGCAGCAGCGUCGUCCCAAAUCCAACAUCAACAUUACCCUUGUCGGCGUCGGGCGCACCUUCGACGCCAUCAUCUUCCACCCGGAUCCCCGCCAACAUCCACAGCGUCUCCACAGGCAGUUACCUCACCCGUUGCCCUCCCUCAUCCUCAGGCUCCAGCGAUUCUGUCUCCGACUCCUCCGCCCGGAUCCACACCAACAUCCACAGCCUCUCAGGCAGCCACCUCACCGGUCGAACCCCCACAUGCUGA